UACAGAGGGUGCGAGCGUUAAUCGGAAUUACUGGGCGUAAAGCGUGCGUAGAUGGUUAUGUAAGUCGGAUGUGAAAGCCCCGGGCUCAACCUGGGAAUUGCAUUCGAGACUGCAUGGCUAGGAUGCGGAAGAGGGAAGCGGAAUUUCCGGUGUAGCGGUGAAAUGCGUAGAUAUCGGAAGGAACACCAGUGGCGAAAGCGGCUUCCUGGUCCAGCAUCGACGUUCAGGCACGAAAGCGUGGGGAGCAAACAGG
Molecule: ribosomal RNA, 253 nt
Filed under: uncultured bacterium
Lineage: Bacteria
Description: partial 16S ribosomal RNA
Rfam family: Bacterial small subunit ribosomal RNA
Source: RNAcentral